UGCAGCAGGCGCGAAAACUUUACAAUGCGGGAAACCGUGAUAAGGGGACACCGAGUGCCAGCAUCAUAUGCUGGCUGUCCAGGUGUGUAAAAUACACCUGUUAGCAAGGGCCGGGCAAGACCGGUGCCAGCCGCCGCGGUAACACCGGCGGCCCGAGUGGUGAUCGUGAUUAUUGGGUCUAAAGGGUCCGUAGCCGGUUUGGUCAGUCCUCCGGGAAAUCUGACGGCUCAACCGUUAGGCUUUCGGGGGAUACUGCCAGGCUUGGAACCGGGAGAGGUAAGAGGUACUACAGGGGUAGGAGUGAAAUCUUGUAAUCCCUGUGAGACCACCUGUGGCGAAGGCGUCUUACCAGAACGGGUUCGACGGUGAGGGACGAAAGCUGGGGGCACGAACCGGAUUAGAUACCCGGGUAGUCCCAGCCGUAAACGAUGCUCGCUAGGUGUCAGGCAUGGCGUGACCGUGUCUGGUGCCGCAGGGAAGCCGUGAAGCGAGCCACCUGGGAAGUACGGCCGCAAGGCUGAAACUUAAAGGAAUUGGCGGGGGAGCAC
This 548-nucleotide ribosomal RNA is filed under the name uncultured archaeon. Its description in RNAcentral is "bacterial SSU rRNA". It matches the Rfam family "Archaeal small subunit ribosomal RNA", at positions 331 to 879 of the family's 1478-position model. The record is from RNAcentral.